Molecule: long non-coding RNA, 8555 nt
Organism: Syngnathus typhle (broad-nosed pipefish)
Lineage: Eukaryota; Metazoa; Chordata; Actinopteri; Syngnathiformes; Syngnathidae
Exons: 2
Source: RefSeq, a predicted model, not a curated record
GAAUUUUUAUUCUGGUAUCAUGCAAUGUAUAUCUCACUAGUAAGCCUAAGUAUGACCAGGUCAUGUUCGGGUCAGGUUCGUGUGGUAUUGUUUAGGGCUUGGUCCAGGAAGGUAGACUCAUUGGCGCCAGACACAUCUGGCUUCCAUUAACAACUGCUAAGAUGCACAUGAUGUAGAGAUGAGGAGGCAACUGCGGGGUCAUAGGUCAGCCAACAGCCCUAUCUGCGCGCUCCCGCGUGGAGGGAAGCGCAAGAGUAUAAGGUUUAGGACGAGAGUAGACAAAGGAACUCGACAUCUUGGCUAGGGCGCGAGACACUUCUCUCUGACAUCGGUUGAAUAAAAUCUUUCCCCAAUCAGCCAUGUGUGACUGAAGUUUUCCUUCCCCAAGCCAGCCACUUUUUCACCAUCUUGUUUGGAAGACCAGCUGACCAUCGAAGAGAAUUCACCACAAUUUUGGCGUCACGAACAGUUCUCUUGUCCUUCGGGGAGCCCUCGCCCGCCUGGGUGCGAGCAUCGAGCGUCCGGCCGGCAGGCUGAGUUUGAGGUGAGAAGCUUCCACUCACAGUAUCGCAAUGUGCUCGUGCCUGGUGUGGGGGGGGAUGGAGUGGCUCCUGAGCGGGACAGUUAACGGGCCUGGUGUGCCAGUGGCUGGCAAAAAGGGGGGGGAUUGGUCUCCCCUAGCUGGAUGUCGACGAGAUGUGGAGUUUGAAAGGGGGGUGUAGCCCCAAUAGAAAAAUGAAAAUGUUCAAUAAAAAUAGAAAAAAAAAAAAAAAAAAAAAAAAAAAAAAAAAAAAGAAAGAAGGCAAAUAAAAAUGGGAAAAUUGCAUAAAACUUAAUGGGGAAUGUGCACAACAGUGUGAGUGACAUGUCUGGUGUGAAUGAUGAAUGAGAAAGAAAAUGCUCCGAGAGAGGGCACGUGAAACAGGACAGGAUGUCUGGGACAUCGCUGAUCGGCUGUCACGAGAGAAGAAUAAUAGAAAGUCCCAUAAAACGUGGACUUUGUUUUGGCUACAGAUCCGAUGGAGGAUGGAAAUUUUAGCUGUGUGAUUGAGGCGGAAACACAGGUACGAUUGAACACUGUGUGCGACAAGAGACGGGCACCACCAAGCCACCGGAGGCACAAUUCCCGGGGUCGUGCUGGGACGUUGAGAUCACACUCAAUGUAGUUGAGAUCACACUCAAUGUGGUCGAGAUGUCCGGUGGGGGCAUUUGUCUCUAUAUAUAGGUCGCACGAAAAAGGGAGGCUUGAGGCAGACCGCAAUUGGCAAAGCGGAGGAGUGCGCAGCCUUGGCAUCCGUAACUGUGUGAACGAAUGUGGGAAAUUUACCGGCUGGGUCUGGGACCAGGGUGCCGAGAAGAAUGAUGCGCGCAGACCACGUUAUUUGAGCACUGAUCAGAUUAGGAGUUUGUGCGGGUUGCAAGGUUCCCCCGGCUGACAGCUGGUGCGUUAGCCGCUUAGAGAGACACUCUUCGGGCAACUUACCGGGGUGAACCGGUGCGCUGCGGUUGUACCCAAGUCGUCACGGUCCGAUUCCGAUUGGCGAGGCGCACUGUAAUAGCACACACUCCUGUCAAAGUCUGAUAAAAUUUACGGCUUGCAGCAGACCGCAAUUGGCAGAGCGGAGGAGUGGGCAGCCGAUAGAAAUUGGAAAACGUGGAAAAAAGAGGCCUCAGGGGGGUUAAUUUUGGUAUACCAUGUAAAAAAGUAAUUUGUGUGCACACUGAAGUUAAAAAUCUGCAGUAUAAGGGGAAAUGCAAAGCGCUCUUAGGGGAAACAAAGACAAGAAGUGCAAAGGGCAUGUUUGUACGUGCACCUGCGCACGGUAAGAAGACACAGAAUGACCAAACCGCAUGGAAGCGGUUAGUGAGAAGCUACAUGAGAGAUGGAUUCGAAUCCCUUUGUCUGUGUUCUAUGUUUGUGCGUAAUGUCUGUGAAGUUUCUGUCAGUUGUCGUUCGUCUGAGCUGUGUGCGCGCUUGGUGUAUGUGGUGCGCGUGCGUGCGGAUGCGUGUGAGUGUGUGAGCUCUGCGUGCGCGCGGUGUGUAUUGAGCGGGCGUGCGUGCGCGCGGAUGGGUGUGUGCAUGUGCGGUUGUGUGCGCGCUCGGUGUGUGUGCGUUUAUGUGCACACGCAUGGGAGACGGCAGUGAGAGAAGAAAGGAGGGGGCCCUGGGUGCUCCAAGGCGCGGAAUGGUGCUCUGUCGGCAAAGGUGGGGGCCGGCGAGACGCGCGGGCCUGGCCAGCCCGUGGAGUCAACAUUGGUACGCUGACCCCCCCCCUUGUCCGAGGGCGCUGUGCCGAGGAGCCCGCAAAGGCGAGGCUGGGUCCCCCCGGUAGAGGUCAAUGUCGAUGAGAACUGAGACAUGACGAGGGGAGAUCGAAUGUGGAUGAGCGAAGGGUGCAUGAUUAACAACGAACGUGCAUGAUUGAAACUGAAACUUCACUGGCACUAAUGUUGAACAGUUUGCAAACAGGCAAGAGAGAGACAUGCUUGCAAUACUCACUAAAAUACUAAUGUUUGUGUACCUGUGUGUCUUAAGAAAGGAGUUGGGCCGUGGCAGCAGUGAUUUGUGGCAGGACGCCACACAUUCGGCCCAGGACCGAUAGGUGGGGGGAGACAGUGAGGAAAGGGGGGUUCGCUCGUAAAUUAAGAGGGAGCCUGUUGAGGGCGGCCAGCGCCCCUAGUCCAUCUGACAACUAAUGAGAAAGUGAGUGAUUACGUUAACUUGAACGAGAUUGCUAUUUCUCCUGUUUGCAUAACAAAUACGAGACGGUGCACGCGCACGUCUCCUCCCAGAGGACAAAGAGACACGGACAGAACUCCCAGGUCGUCUGAGGAAAAGCUUCGUGGAGCGCUGCCCCCAAAUUCUUCACUAAUUUACGUCAGGACGCCACAAAUGCGGCCAGAGACAGAUAGAAAGAGGGAGUGAGAGAAGAAAGGGGGGCUAACUCGUAAAUAAUGAGGAGAUAUUGGGAGUAAUCUAUUGGUCCUUUCUUUAACACCCUUUAAAUCAUUUCCUGGAGGAGAUAAGUUAGCAACACGAGAGACUUAGAGGUUCAACAGAAAGACAGUUAAAAGACAAUAACAUUUUUGAUUUGAACAAUUGCAGGCUAACAGGAGCAUGAGAGAGGAGAGCUGAGAAGCGGGAUCCACUUUGAUCGAGGAGAUUGGAAAUUCACAGCACAUAUUCUAAGUCGCAUUUUUGAGCAAGCAUGACACAGGUAAUAACGCGUGAGAGAUCAAGACAUAGAUCAGGGCUAGUUGUGGGACGCAGACCUCGGAGUUAAUUUUGAAUAAUGAUACUGAAGACACAAUGUACUGUCCCAUUAAAUUGGAACUAUAGACAAAACGUAGCUCGACAAUAGGAUGAGUUGCAGGACUUACAAUAUAAAGACGACAUUGCUGUUACUAGGAGAAUUCGACUUUUGGUAAACAAACGUUACUAGUGAAUGGAGGGCAGCAGCUACAUUUGGAGAUAGCCUUACAAGUUUGGUGUCCCAGUCUGUCUCUCUCAGUGCCAGGAUCCCUGAAAACUCGACCCCGAGACUCCGCCUGCAGCCGCGGACGACUACAAGACGGUGCCUGGCUUUGAGGCACCUUUGACCUUUGGCAAGGACAAAGUAAGACUGUUGUUGUGCUUGGAGGGGGCAAGUACACUCCGGAGGAUAGACAACAUCCUCGGAGACGAGAAAAGACAGUGAGAAGUGGAGGAACUCACAAUGUUGAAGAAAAAAUGGACAUUUGAACAAUGGACUCAUUCGAGAGUGAUGGAUGUGUUGGCUCUGAAGCAACAACAAAAGGACACCAUCUUGAGAGGGUGAGGUGCGGCAGAAGAUAUGGACUUGAAAUGUCCGAUGGCCAAAUCGCACUCCUGGCGGUGCUAAGACCUCGUGGGGCUUGGGUUAGAGUGGACAGGAGCUUCAUUGUGCACUGGGUUUGACAGAACUGAGGAGAUUUGAUAAAAAAUUGAAUAAUGCGUAGAGCUACAGAGAGAAGCAUCAUGGUCAGAGAUUGAACAGAUUUGAAUAAAACAAAUGGGCUGAAACGGUGAGAAACAAGAGCGAGAUCUGAUGUUUUGGCUCACCAGACAUAAGACGUAGAAAUCGAGUUAGAUAAAUUUUAGAAUAAGACAUCUAGACUAAAGUGGAUUCAGCCGAGAGGAAGCUAGGACGCUCGAUGUACCUACUCAAUACGAUAGAAGUUUGUUGCACCAUAGUGGAGGUUGGGUAGUCAGAAAGUUGGAUCCGUUAAAUUUUUGACUUUCACACAUUCAUGCAUAGGAGUCGCACAAGGCCACAGGUAACAAGAUAAUGACUGAGAUAGGGCUCAAAUUCAACUGCACCCACACGGCAAUGUAGAAGCAGGAGAGCGAAGUAAGGGAUUAUGUGCUAAACAGUCCGCUGUAGGGUUACCAAUAGGAGAUUCUGUCAAAAGAACUACUAAGAGGUGGAGGCGAAGAUAAUAGGAGGACAUAGAUAUUCGAAGGUUUAAUAAGGGCAAACUCCAUUGUCAAAGAUCGGAUUAGAGCAAGUAGGAACGGGAGUAUUUUGGCAUUUUAACAGGAAGUGGCAGCAAGGGAGAUUGAGGAUAGAAGAUCUGGACAGCAAUGACGUGAAUUACAUUAAAAACUGCUCAUUCGAGGGAGAGGGCUCGGCGCUCCCUGUGUGGAGCUGCAGCUUUGCAGAAGGGGGGCAGGCCGCGCGAGUGAGGAGUGGUGAUAGGCGACCACAAGGAAGUAGGGAGAGGUGUUGGAUGGUGUGACAGGCAGGAGUUUUAGGAAGAGGAAGAAAAGAAAAAGGGGGGGAGUGAGACUCGCCAAGAGGGGCAAUAAAGAGAAGCAGACUGAGAAACAGUUUUGAGCAAGACAACGGGGAAAAAGGGGGAGAGCCAAACGAUGACGUAAAAAGCCAGAGAGAAUAGUCUGACCCAUCUUUAUUGAAUUUAAUUAACAUAAGUAAUAGAGAUCGAGUUUGUAGGACCAAUACGAGGGUAUGGAGGCUCCCUCAAAACGCGGGUCCCACAGUUAGUCCCUCAGAUAGACAUAUAUGACAAUUUGCGAUGAAUCUGAUGGGCGAGUUUAUGGAAAAUUGAAUUGGAGAUUUUAUAAUAGGUCAUGUUGACGAGUAUGUCCGAAUGUGAAGAGUCACUAUUAGGAGUCAAUAUUUGCCUACACACUAACAUACUAACUUUGCUUGGUUUGGGGGGAGAGCUGAGUGAUAGAGACGGAUGAGUGUGUCUGUGAGUGUGUGGAUGGGUGAGUGCGCAUGGGAUCAUCUACGGCUGUGUGUGCGCAGUAUGAUUGGCCAGAGAGGUCUGAAGUUGGGAUGAUGUGUUUGCCGUUGAGGAUAAAAUUCCUCUCACCUGAAGGGGUGGUACAGAUCGGAGGGACUGGAACUGGUAAGUGAUGAGUUCUGAUCGGAACCAUGGUUCAAUGAUCAAUCAGGGGCACCAUCGACAACCAAACGGUUCGAUGGAGAAGGCCCGUUUCAGUGAUAUGGUCAGACAAGACAGAACUAGUAUUGAACAUCAAGACUUUGGACAAUUUGACGUGUGACGACCUUGAGCUCACCCAACGGGGUGACGGACUAGGUGGACAGUGACCAAAUGUUUGACGCUUGAGCUUGCUUGCGACAUGAGCGAGCUCUGCUUUGGUUUUCUGUGUGACUUGAUUUUUUGCAGCAGCAGCAACGGCCGCCAGCCAAGGAGCGGAUUGCGCGCUGCUUGCGUAACUUGUUUUCGUUCUUGCAGGUUGUCGAUUGCGUUCGUGGAACGUUUGUGUUGAAUUUACAAGAAUAUUUUAACCCUUGCCCUUUUGGUUUUUAUAAUGAACUUGUUGAUUACAUGGUUUUCAGGACAGGAUCCCCGAGCGCCAGGAUUCAUUUUAUGACUGUUUUUGUUUUGAUACUUGAUGUCUGUUUUUGUGUGUACAAGUGUCCGCUGUCAGCAGGGCUACAAGCUCACUGACAGGAGUGCGCUGAUUUUUGUUUGUGUUGCCGAGUGUGUGGUGGACAGUCAAGUUUCAGAGACUUGGGGUGACGGUCCCGGGGCCCAGAUGGAAGCUAGAGGUUCCGUGGGCCUGGCUACAAUGAGUGUGGUGAUGAGAGGGGACGCUUUGCAGGUUCCUUUUGAUACGUAAUGACACAUUGGGUGAAUGUGUCAAAAGGGGGGAGUGGUAAAACAGAAAGGGGCUUUAACAGGACACACCAGAAUUCAACUAGCAGUGACGGAAGGAGCGGAAGAAGCAUCUCGAAAGAAAGGGAGUUAACGGGGGACAACAGCCUGGAAUGGAUGCGAAGCGUGGUAACAAUUUAGUGACAAUAAGGUUUAAGGUUUUUCAAUGACAAAGUACGAAGGACAAAUCAUACAGUGAUUUGGGAAUGGACAGUGGCACAGUACACGACAAAAGUUUGGAAGGUCAUUGAAUGUCAGAGGACGACGGGGCCAGAGACAAGGAAGGGGGAAAUUUCUGAACGCGUGACUGCAUUAAAGCUGCUAUUACAGGGCAAAGGUUUAAUUAUACAUUUUAGGACGAGUAGUUUGCAUAACGAAUACAGAAAGGAUUUGAGUGGCUGUACCGUUUUGAAAAGAUUACGUGAGCGUUGUUUCAGAAUGAUGACUGGUUUGAACAGUGAGGUGGCUCAAACAUAAGGCACAGAUACAUAAAGGUACAGACCUAGGAAACUACAGUAUUGUGAGGGGUACCGGUUUGAGAAUGCUACACAUCUUUAGACUGAAGAAGGAAUUUGGGGGUGACAAAUAGUAUUUGGACGGGAAAAAGAGCGGCUGAAGUGACAUGACUGACGGGACUUCAGAAAGAUGACGGUGUGAUUGAGACAGGGACAUCUGCGACAGGAAAGGCUACCAGGAACAGGUAGAAUUUACAUUGUGACUGGGGGGAGCUAGCAACGCUGUCGGCACGACGAGAAAUGAGGGGAAUGAGUCCUGGAGUGUUUGCUUGUUUGUUUGCUUGUUUGUUUGUUUGUUUGUUUGUUUGUUUCAGGGACCGCGUGGGCCUCUGGAAACGAGGGGUAGGUGUCGGGAGCCCUCGGGCGUUCUGAUGAGAUUUCGAUGAGACGAUUGACACAGCUUUUUCCUCGUUGCCCCAUCACCGCCAAAUAAUUAUUUGAGGGGGCUGGAAACACUGGAGCUAUCGGGUUGUGUUGCCCUGCCAGCGGUGGCCGUCGGGGCCGGAAGGACGUCCGGCCUGGGCUGCGGCUUUUGCCAUUAUGACUUCACAUGUUUGCACUGUUAACGUCACUUGAUACAGACAGUAGCUUUAGCUUGUCAUAGGUCGCCUGGGUGCUGACCGGGGCCUUGCACGGGAUUCAACGGCCAUCAUAAGCAACAGGAGGACACUGAACGGACAGCCGGCCCGGGACGGUGCCGUCUACUACUAGUGCUAUUUUCCACUGACGGAUCAAUGGACUGGAUUUCAUAUCUGCACGUACUUGUGCAUGCAAGGGGGGCAGCGCAACGACGGGUUUAAUGUUCUUGCAUGCUUUGACGAUUUGUUUUUAUAUACCUCACUGUGUUACAUCUGUGUUUUUUGCCAUGAUGUUUACUUUAUUAUGUGACCUCAUUUGCUUGCCCCGUGGCAUGUUUACGAUACGACGUUGCAUGUUGAGCGAUCUGUAUUUGAGGGUCAUGGUUCUGCUUGUUGCUGUGUUUAGGGCUCAUGCUACGCUUUGUGAAAUGUGGUGUGUGCCGGAGCUCCCUUCACCUGACUCUCGCCAGGCGAGAGGCGCCUCCGGGGGUGUAGAAUGGGCCUCCCUCUUUUUCCUCGUCAUUAGAUUGGCGAGGUUUUUUCGACGGCGGUCCGGCAGCUUUUUGGGGCUUCUAACGGGCCACAGCAAACUUUUCCUCUCCAAAUUGAUGGCGUUGGUGAUAUAUUACCGAAGGGGGGUGUGCGGACGGCGUCAAUCAGUUGAUGGGGUUGGGGGAUUCGAUCUUGGUCAAAUGUGGUUCCUGAGAGGCCUCAGAUUGCUGUCAGGGAGGAAUUUGCUAUUAAAUUAGGUUGAGCUUUCCUAGUUAAUGUAACCUUAAGUAGCAUGCCUUGAGCAUGAUUUAGGAUGAGACAAAUAGGUCCAAAUUGUAGACGAAAACCAUGAAAUGGUUGGGGGAAGGUUUUUGAUGUACCGGUGUCUUUUUCGUGUUGAGUUGUUGCCGGGGCACUUGAUGUGCCCCGGCAGGGGGGAAUGUUGUGAAUUUUUAUUCUGGUAUCAUGCAAUGUAUAUCUCACUAGUAAGCCUAAGUAUGACCAGGUCAUGUUCGGGUCAGGUUCGUGUGGUAUUGUUUAGGGCUUGGUCCAGGAAGGUAGACUCAUUGGCGCCAGACACAUCUGGCUUCCAUUAACAACUGCUAAGAUGCACAUGAUGUAGAGAUGAGGAGGCAACUGCGGGGUCAUAGGUCAGCCAACAGCCCUAUCUGCGCGCUCCCGCGUGGAGGGAAGCGCAAGAGUAUAAGGUUUAGGACGAGAGUAGACAAAGGAACUCGACAUCUUGGCUAGGGCGCGAGACACUUCUCUCUGACAUCGGUUGAAUAAAAUCUUUCCCCAAUCA